GUUGGCGGUAGUGCGGGUUGGAGGCAUCUGCUGGCGGCGAGGAAAAGAACAGAAGCAGAGAAGAAUGUUCACCUCUUUAUCAGACUGAAGUUUCUAUCAUCUUUUAGAAACGGGGGCUCAGAAGCACAGUGACAUCCGGCCAAAAAUAUUCAAAUGGGUCCUCCUUAAAAUUGUUGCUCCCCACUCCACGCCUCCACCCCCCCCUCCCCAUUUUCUCUUUUUUAAUUCUGUAGCAGUCAUUACCCAGGGACCGGAUACAGAGAUCUCUAUGGGGAGUUCUAAUGGGCCGAUUCAGUUUCAACUGGAUGACGCCACUUAGCCAAGCAUUAAGAGCUCCAGCUCCGGGAAGGCAAACGACACAGAGAGAGGGAGAGGGAGAGGGAGAGAGAGAGAGAGAGAGAGAGAGAGAGAGAGAGAAAGAAAUUAUAACAAGGAGCAAUAAAUCCCUCCCCUCCCAUCCUCCCCUAUAACCCAUUCACAAGACCUCCAGAAAUCAUCUACAUUCACAAAACAGCGAGCCUGCUCAACUGAAUACACAGCAACCAUAUCCACUCUUCUCUCUCUCUCUCUCUCCCUCUCUCCCUCUCCCUCCCUUUCCAUCCUUUUAGAUUAUAUCCACACAUACUGAGUCUAGAGUUAUAGAAUGAGACACAGGCAGCAUCUAUUGCUGCGCUGAGAUUUACUGAAUCCUACAACUGCAGUUCCUGCUUCUGUUCAUCUGUCAGAUCGGAGAAGGAGGAGGAGGAGGAGGAGGAAAAGGAGGAGGAGGAGGAGAAAAAACAGGACUUGCAUUGCCUGGGUUUCUUUGGGGAAUAUGUGCAUCUUGAUUUAUAUCUGUAUGUAAAACCUAUACAGAGUAUCUGCCAGUACGUUUCUUGCCUUUUUUUUUUUUUCAUUUUCUCUGCUGUGUCAGAGAGAACGAGACAGAACUGUCUCUAUCUGGUUCCCCAGCCCGAGGAGGAGUGUUCAUUCAGACUUUCUGAAAAGAGCUGGAGAGACAGAGAGGGAGAAUCAAGGAAAGAAGAGGUUCCUGAAUCCGGCUGGGAGAUUAGUUCCACGGCUCUCAGCAACAUGGAUCUCCACGCUCAUCGAGGUUUUUCCGACGUGCCCUGAUGCCAGAGUGACGGCCGGCCCGCUCUCUCUCCGUGCCCACCGCAAGCGUCCACCCGACCGCCCUCCCCGCCGCCCCUCCAGACCCCCUAAG
Molecule: long non-coding RNA, 1204 nt
Filed under: Ornithorhynchus anatinus (platypus)
Lineage: Eukaryota; Metazoa; Chordata; Mammalia; Monotremata; Ornithorhynchidae
Description: lncRNA (ENSOANG00000050755.1)
Source: RNAcentral